Molecule: transfer RNA, 69 nt
Filed under: Pseudocleopatra dartevellei
Lineage: Eukaryota; Metazoa; Mollusca; Gastropoda; Paludomidae
Description: tRNA-Asp
Source: RNAcentral
AGAAAGUUAGUUAAUUUAUAAUAUAAAAUUGUCAGUUUUAUGUAGCUAAUUUUGUUUUAGUACUUUCUG